GUCUAUGACCAUACCACCCUGAACCCACCCAAUCUCACUUAAUCUCAGAGAUAAGCAGGGCUGGGCCUGAUUAGUACUUGGGUAGGAGACAUAAACCCUUCCUUCCAUGUCAUCACUGGCAACUGUCAUGGACC
RNAcentral lists this ribosomal RNA (134 nucleotides) under Nannospalax galili (Upper Galilee mountains blind mole rat). The record is from RNAcentral. Lineage: Eukaryota; Metazoa; Chordata; Mammalia; Rodentia; Spalacidae.